AAGAGGACGGCAUUGAUUGCCUUGCGUAUUGCUCGGUUCAAUUCAAUCUAUGACUGAGCAAGCUCUAGAUCGGAGGGAGCCUUCUCGUUAUAUCGGAUUUUGAUUGAUCAAAUUUUGAAAUCAUCUACGGCGCCGUUGCCACGGAGGACGCUCGGUGCCGUCCCACGGCAGUGGCGCUAGGGAGGACCGACUCCAAGCAGCCGGCGGAUCCCAGUAGGUACAUCACCGGUUGGGAGGGGGCGCUCGUGCGGUUUGCCCGAUCCUCGAAGCGCCCGGGGAGGUGGAGGUGGUGGCCAAGUCGGCGCACAGCACGCUAUACCAUGCCGGGGUUGCUCUGCUCCGGUUCAUGUGCUCCGCCUUUGCUGAGGAGGCUGCAGGGUCCUUACACCACCCAAACCUCGUGGUGAUCUGCGCGCUUUACAUCAGCCGACGUGAGAAGAAGCUUCUCGCGCACACGUUCUACACCGCCGGCUCGCUCCGCCGCUUCUUGCAAGGCUUGCAGCAUAUGGAGGUGGUUGCUUGUUCAAAUUUCUGGCACUCGAAUUACUAUUGAUAAUGUUUCCAUGUGUGUUAAGUCACCAUUCUAUUGCCACCCUGCAUAUUUGAGUACCGGAAUAUCUAUGGCCUAAGCCGGUCAAAUUUGGUUGUGCUACAUCCAGCAGCGAUGCCCCUCUCCUCCCCAUCCAUUUUGCUUAGCUUCAUCCGGUUGAAUUUCCAUGCAACAAAAGGAUGGUGACAACCCGUUCACUUUACAAAGAAUGUACAUAGGAGCAGCAGGAGGAAAACAAAUCAAGCGGUUUCUGAUGAGUAGUAAAUACGUAUUUGAUACGGACUCCUUUUUAAAAGAGGUUGUAAAGGAAAGGGAAAGGAUACGAAAAUCUCCAAUAUACUCCAUCCCUAGCGGAACCUGUUCGUCCCCGAAACCGACCUUCUCAAGAGCAAUAGGACCUUGUCGAGGGAUUCAAAAAUCAAGGUAUGUGUAGGGAUAAAUCUUCAUCCAACCUUGUACACAGGGCACUCAUAUGGAAAAUUCAGACUGUUUAGGCUACAUUUUCCAUGUUCACUAAUAGGAGGCUGGAUUUGUUAUAAUUUAGAAUCAGGCAUGCAACAUAUGUCUAAUUAUUUAUUCCGAUGCUUUUCAUCAACACUGUAAGGUUC
Panicum hallii is the source of this 1158-nucleotide long non-coding RNA. RefSeq lists it as uncharacterized. The transcript is spliced from 4 exons. The record is from RefSeq and is a predicted model, not a curated record. Lineage: Eukaryota; Viridiplantae; Streptophyta; Magnoliopsida; Poales; Poaceae.